UACCGGACUACCCCCACCGAACCGCAUUGGUUUGGUGAGGAAAUGGAUUCCGCUUCGGGAGGGCUUCGCGGCCUAUCAGCUAGUUGGUGGGGUAACGGCCCACCAAGGCAUCGACGGGUAGCUGGUCUGAGAGGACGAUCAGCCACACUGGGACUGAGACACGGCCCAGACUCCUACGGGAGGCAGCAGUGGGGAAUCUUGCGCAAUGGGCGAAAGCCUGACGCAGCAACGCCGCGUGGGGAUGAAGGCUCUCGGGUUGUAAACCCCUUUCAGCAGGGACGAAUCAAGACGGUACCUGCAGAAGAAGCCCCGGCUAACUACGUG
Molecule: ribosomal RNA, 324 nt
Filed under: uncultured bacterium
Lineage: Bacteria
Description: bacterial SSU rRNA
Rfam family: Bacterial small subunit ribosomal RNA
Source: RNAcentral